This 409-nucleotide ribosomal RNA is filed under the name Staphylococcus aureus. RNAcentral describes it as "partial 23S ribosomal RNA". It matches the Rfam family "Bacterial large subunit ribosomal RNA", at positions 67 to 469 of the family's 2925-position model. The record is from RNAcentral. Lineage: Bacteria; Bacillati; Bacillota; Bacilli; Caryophanales; Staphylococcaceae.
GACGAUAUGCUUUGGGGAGCUGUAAGUAAGCUUUGAUCCAGAGAUUUCCGAAUGGGGAAACCCAGCAUGAGUUAUGUCAUGUUAUCGAUAUGUGAAUACAUAGCAUAUCAGAAGGCACACCCGGAGAACUGAAACAUCUUAGUACCCGGAGGAAGAGAAAGAAAAUUCGAUUCCCUUAGUAGCGGCGAGCGAAACGGGAAGAGCCCAAACCAACAAGCUUGCUUGUUGGGGUUGUAGGACACUCUAUACGGAGUUACAAAGGACGACAUUAGACGAAUCAUCUGGAAAGAUGAAUCAAAGAAGGUAAUAAUCCUGUAGUCGAAAAUGUUGUCUCUCUUGAGUGGAUCCUGAGUACGACGGAGCACGUGAAAUUCCGUCGGAAUCUGGGAGGACCAUCUCCUAAGGCUAA